This is a long non-coding RNA of Astyanax mexicanus (Mexican tetra), 1082 nucleotides long. RefSeq lists it as uncharacterized. NCBI's taxonomy places the organism in Eukaryota, Metazoa, Chordata, Actinopteri, Characiformes, Acestrorhamphidae. The record is from RefSeq and is a predicted model, not a curated record. The transcript has 2 exons.
UUGAUCGGUCCGCUGAGUUGAGGGCCCGCCCCGUUUUUUGCAGCAAAGCUGCAUCAUUGGCUGCAGCUGGUGUCCGUCAUCCUGUACAACACUCCGUCGUCACUCGUAACCUUUGACGUUGGAGUACCAUUAGCCAGCUGUUACAAAUCGCGUCACUCUCUCGCCAGCUGAUCGGAGACACCGGCAAGAGUGGGAACCGACAGAAGGAGCAGCAGCAGCGGGAGCAGGAGCCUGUCCGCGGGGUGUGCAGACUGCGGAGCUGGUGGAUGACAAAGCAUGAAGUUUGUCUAUAAAUGGUGGCUAACCUACAGCAGUUCUUCUCUGGCAAACUUUAUGUUCCUGUCCACAUGCUAAAGCUGCCAGCUGAAGAACUGUUGUGGUCAGCUAUGUCCUGCAACCCCCUUUAGAAAAUGAAGUAAUGAAGCAUCUUGAAGCAUUUACCACCCAAAGCAAAACCAGUGUGUUUGUGAGAACUUUUGUAAAUGCAAAGUAUAAAGCAAUAUUAAAGACAAAUAUGCAGCAUUACACACUGUAUGUAUUCAUUUGAAGAGAUCAAGUUGAUGCACCAACAUUUUAGUUUUAGUAGAAAUAUCUGUUGGAAAUGUUGGUCUGUUUUUAGCCAAAUAAAACCAAGCACCUCAAAUAAAGCCUGAUUUAUACAUGUAUGUCACUCACAGGUUGCAGAAUAAUUUAAGCCAUGCACAAAACUCCAUAAUGAGCCAGCAUAUCCCUUAAUUCAAUCACAUCACAGGAAAUAGACAAGGAGAGUGAAAGCCAGUCUGGAUAGCUGGGAUUAUGUGGGAGCAGGGAUUGAAAGACAGUGAGGGUUUGGUAAUCUGAGUGCCAGAUUUGUGUUAAUCCAGGCGAGGCACUCCGGGUGAGCUGUCUCUUCCCCAGACAGGUACUGUCCAAUCUGAUUAUGCACCGUAUCUGCUUUGUGUCUGCAUUAAUAGCUGUGUGCACUGCUUUAAUGACUUCACUUAAGAUGAUGUGAAAAUUGCUGUUUUCUUUAAACCUUGCUGUUAUUCAUGCUUCAAUCUAUGUAAUGUGAUUUUUAAUUAUAUAAAGAUGUCUUGAAAGAA